GCCCGAAACCAGAACCGGAGGCUUGCCGUGACCAGUUUCAACCCGGAAAGUUUAGGUAGACCUCCCAGUCUCCCGACUUCCGCUUGCGUUUUAGAGCUCCGCCUGGCUGCCUUCACUAUGGAAGAACCAGAGAUGCUCCUGAAGGGAAAGAAAGUAACAGACAAGUUCACCGAAAGUGUCUAUGUCCUGGCCAACGAGCCGUCAGUGGCCCUGUACCGGCUACAGGAACAUGUGCGCCGCUCACUGCCCGAGCUGGCCCAGCACAAGGCUGACAUGCAGAGAUGGGAGGAGCAGAGCCAGGGUGCUAUAUACACCGUGGAGUAUGCCUGCAGUGCUGUGAAGAGCCUGGUGGACAGCAGUGUGUACUUCCGUAGUGUCGAAGGCCUGCUCAAACAGGCCAUCAGUAUCCGGGACCACAUGAACAACAGCGCCCAGGGCCACAGCCAGGAGAAACCAUCCCCUCCUACUGUGGCCUGACCCUGACAAUGCAAAACUCUCAGGGCCACCAGCUGCCCACCCAGGCAGAGACCUGGCUCCUAUGCCCCCAACCACUCAGCUGCUGUGUGACCUUGAGGCUGCAUCCUUACUUCUCUGUAAACAUGGCUUAUUAGGCUGAGGCCAUGUGGAGAUGGGCAGUUUUUCACUUGAGGAGCAUCUGGAAGGGCUCCCAGGUGUGUGCACUGAUCCUGUCGGCACUGGUGCACGCCUGGGCACCCGAGUCAUGUGUCUUCUGCUCUGCUCACCUCGUGGCAUCCUGGGCUCUGGAUCCCAACUUCAUCUCUUCAGACUUCUUCACCUCCCUGGGAUCCUCAGCCCUCUGAGUUCCAAAGCCUCUCCUGGGUUACCAGUGGCCUUCGUGGGUUCAGAUCCUCACAGCCUGUCCAGACCCAAGAUCCUCAGCACAAUCUCUUAUACAAGAGGAAACUGGCUUGGUGGUGGGAUAGCCCGCCCCAAGCACUUGCCCCCACUCGAACCCUGAUGGGUUCGAUGGGUUCGAGUCCUGGUCUUCCCACCCUUAGCUCCCCCACCCCCUUUCCAGUCCUUGCAGAAGCAGACCCCUGGACAUCACACUGAGAACUCAACAGGAACUCCUGGCUCAGCCGUAAUUGCUCCCCUUGGCCAUGAACCAGGCUCACUAUUCCAGUCGCACCCUAGGGCAGUCUUGGUGCGCAUACAUGAAUGUUCAGGAGUUGUUCUUCCAUGCUGGGGUCACAUAGCUGAAGACCAGACCCUGACCCUGCUUCUGACAAGUGAUGCAGGACUGGGUGCUGGCUUCUCUGAGAUCGAGGAACACAUCUCCCUGUCUAAUCUCUUAGGAGCCACUGGAUAACUGUCUCCCACCUCCAUCCAGGGCAGGACCUGAGUCCCUGGCUUGGCCACUAGCUCCCAUCUCCUGGGUCCUGAUGGGGCAGGUUCCAUGUCUGUCCUACAACCAGGCCCUAGGUUCCCCCAAAUCAUAUACACACACCAAACAAGCUAAUAAAAAAAAAAAAAAA
Molecule: RNA transcript, 1496 nt
Organism: Alexandromys fortis (reed vole)
Lineage: Eukaryota; Metazoa; Chordata; Mammalia; Rodentia; Cricetidae
Gene: Borcs8
Gene name: Bprotein-1 related complex subunit 8
Exons: 7
Source: RefSeq, a predicted model, not a curated record